GACCUGAAAAAAGCAAAGCAGGGAAAGCGGGGGAGGGGUUGACAGGGAUGAUCGGGAAGUGUAGGAUCAAACGGUUGACUCUUUCGGGGAGAAAAAAGCCCUGAAGAGAAAGACGCCCUGUGGAAACGCAGGGAGAGCGUCUCGGAUCAUUGACAACUAAAUAGGAGCAGCAACGUCCAAUUAAAGGGCCCUGAUCACGAAACACAGGAACAAAAUGAAUCUGGAGAGUUUGAUCCUGGCUCAGAACGAACGCUGGCGGCGUGCCUAACACAUGCAAGUCCAACGUGAAAGGGGAGCAAUCCCCCGGUAGGGUGGCAAACGGGUGAGUAAUACAUGGGUGAUCUACCUUAGGGAUGGGGAUAUCCUUCCGAAAGGAGGGGCAAUACCGAAUAUUGUCCGGAGCCGUGAAGGGUUCCGGGGAAAGGGAGGCCUCUGAUACAAGCUUUCGCCUUAAGAUGAGC
Molecule: ribosomal RNA, 461 nt
Filed under: uncultured bacterium
Lineage: Bacteria
Description: partial 16S ribosomal RNA
Rfam family: Bacterial small subunit ribosomal RNA (bases 218-461)
Source: RNAcentral